Sturnus vulgaris (Common starling) is the source of this 371-nucleotide non-coding RNA. The record is from RefSeq and is a predicted model, not a curated record. NCBI's taxonomy places the organism in Eukaryota, Metazoa, Chordata, Aves, Passeriformes, Sturnidae.
GAGAAAAGCACUGUAGCAAGAUUAAAGACUGCUUUAAAUUCUUUUUGCAAUGAGAUUGGCCAUAAAUCAAGAGAAACCUCUUUUUAGCCCUUUCUAAAAGUUCUCAAAGCAGCCCAUGUCUCCGUCUAGUUCUGCAGUUGUGUAUUGUGCAACACUUAAAACCAAUUCUGUUCCAGGUUUGUGCACCGAUUUGCACAGGACUGCUGUUGAGGAGGUACCAGGCUAGGACUGACAGACCAGCUCUGAGGACAGACAGCAGCUGAAAAGCCUCUCAAAGGAAUAGCCAGAAGUAACUGCAGCACAGUGAGGGCACAGACUGUGUAGAGCGCUUUUUGAUUUUCAGAUAAAAGGCACUGUAGAAGUGAAAAGUA